UCCCUGAGCCCCAGACAGCCCAUGAACUGCCUUCCUGGGAAUGGUGGGAUGGGCUGGACUCUGGAUUGCUCCCUCUGCAUGUGUGGCUCUCCCCUCAGGAACUGCAGGAACUCCUGGUGCCGCCUGGGCCGAUGGAUUGGACGCCCCAGCCCCUCCGUUCCUGCCCAGCCACUGGGGCCGUGUCGAGUGGUGGCACUGCCAGCCCUGCAGGGGAAGUGGGAAGGGCCUUUCCAGGUCUGGUGGAUCACAUUUAUUGCAGUGGGAUGGAGCCUGGAAACUGCACAGAGCUGAGCCAAGGGAUUUAAAGGGACCAACCAAGGGAGGUGAAGAAAGAA
Pseudopipra pipra is the source of this 335-nucleotide long non-coding RNA. RefSeq lists it as uncharacterized. The transcript has 3 exons. The record is from RefSeq and is a predicted model, not a curated record. Lineage: Eukaryota; Metazoa; Chordata; Aves; Passeriformes; Pipridae.